This 2570-nucleotide ribosomal RNA is filed under the name Cysteiniphilum litorale. RNAcentral describes it as "23S ribosomal RNA". It matches the Rfam family "Bacterial large subunit ribosomal RNA", at positions 1 to 1896 of the family's 2925-position model. Lineage: Bacteria; Pseudomonadati; Pseudomonadota; Gammaproteobacteria; Thiotrichales; Fastidiosibacteraceae. The record is from RNAcentral.
CAAGAGAAUAAGCGCAAACGGCGGAUGCCUUGGCAGUCAGAGGCGAUGAAAGACGUGAUAGCCUGCGAAAAGCUUCGGGGAGUUGGCAAAUAAGCAUUGAUCCGGAGAUGUCUGAAUGGGGGAACCCGAUCGGAAGACAGAAGACAGAGGACGGAAAGCAGAGUUUUUUCGAGUAGCCUAUGUUUUGUGUCUUCCGAUCAUUCAGAUGGCGGAAAAUAGCGGAUUAGAAACGGUAAUUUGAUUUUAGAGACGUGAUAUUUAAUUUUAGUUUUAAAUAAUUGUAUUUGAAUUUUAAAAUUAAAGGCAUCGCGCAGCGAUUCAACAACUGUCUUCUGUCCUCUGUUUUCCGUCAUCUGAAAGCGAACGUGGGGAACUGAAACAUCUAAGUACCCACAGGAAAAGAAAUCAACCGAGAUUCCCUCAGUAGCGGCGAGCGAACGGGGAAGAGCCUGGCAUAUUUUAGCACAUAGAUUAGUUGAACAUUCUGGGAAGGAUGGCCAUAGCAGGUGAUAGCCCUGUAGACGAAAAUUUAUGAGUGGAACUAGGUAUGCGAAUAAGUAGGGCGGGACACGUGAAAUCCUGUUUGAAGAUGGGGGGACCAUCCUCCAAGGCUAAAUACUACUGACUGACCGAUAGUGAACCAGUACCGUGAGGGAAAGGCGAAAAGAACCCCGAUAAGGGGAGUGAAAUAGAACCUGAAACCGUUUGCGUACAAGCAGUGGGAGUAUGUUNNNNNNNNNNNNNNNNNNNNNNNNNNNNNNNNNNNNNNNNNNNNNNNNNNNNNNNNNNNNNNNNNNNNNNNNNNNNNNNNNNNNNNNNNNAGGAUGACUGCGUACCUUUUGUAUAAUGGGUCAGCGAGUUACUUUUAGUGGCGAGGAUAACUGAAUAAGGGAUCCGUAGCGAAAGCGAGUUUUAAUAGAGCGAUUAGUCGCUAGGAGUAGACCCGAAACCGACGCGAUCUAUCCAUGACCAGGUUGAAGGUUGGGUAACACCAACUGGAGGACCGAACCCGGUAAUGUUGCAAAAUUAUGGGAUGAGUUGUGGAUCGGAGUGAAAGGCUAAUCAAGCGCGGAGAUAGCUGGUUCUCCCCGAAAACUAUUUAGGUAGUGCCUUGUGAAUGACUCGUUGGGGUAAAGCACUGUUUCGACUAGGGGGGUUUUGCGACCUUACCGACUCGAUGCAAACUUAGAAUACGACGAAGUUGAAUCACAGGAGACACACGGCGGGUGCUAAGGUCCGUCGUGGAGAGGGAAAGAGCCCAGACCGCCAGCUAAGGUCCCUAAGUUAUCGCUAAGUGGUAAACGAUGUGAGAAGGCAUAGACAGCCAGGAGGUUGGCUUAGAAGCAGCCAACCUUUAAAGAAAGCGUAAUAGCUCACUGGUCGAGUCGGCUUGCGCGAAAGAUUUAACGGGGCUAAGCGAUACACCGAAGCUGCGGAUUCAGAGGACAGAAAACAGAAGACAGAGGACAGAAUAAUGAAAGCUAUAGAAAAGUUUGAAGACUUAAUGGUUUUUCAGAAAGCAUAUAAAGUUUCAUUGGAAAUACAUAAGUUAAGCUUGGAGAUGCCGAAAGUUGAGCAAUAUGCUCUGGCGGAUCAAGUAAGGCGAGCGAGCAAGUCAAUUUGCGCAAAUAUUGCGGAAGGAUUUGGAAAGCAAAGUAUAUCCAAGGUUGAUUUUAAACGUUAUUUGGCAAUAGCGAUUGGAUCGGCUGAAGAGAUGCGAGUAUGGAUAAGAUAUUGUUACGAUCUGGAUUAUAUUACUAAGUCUGAUUGGGAAAGAUUUAGCGAUGAGUAUCGAGAUAUAGCAAAGAUGUUAAGUGGUCUUCAUAAGAAGUGGAUGUAGUUUUGAUUUAUCUGUUUUCAGUCAUCUGUCAUCUGUCCUCUGAGUGGUAGGGGAGCGUUCUGUAAGUUGAAGAAGGUGAAUUGAGAAGUUUGCUGGAGAUAUCAGAAGUGCGAAUGCUGACAUGAGUAACGAUAAAUAAGUGAGAUUCUUAUUGGCCGAAAACCCAAGGUUUCCUACGCAAUGUUAAUCAACGUAGGGUAAGUCGGCCCCUAAGGCGAAUCCGAAGGGAGUAGUCGAUGGGAAACAGGUUAAUAUUCCUGUACCGAUUGUAAUUGCGAUGGAGAGACGGAGAAAGCUAGGUCUGCCCGGCGGAUGGUUGUCCGGGUGAAAGCGUGUAGGUAGUAUGUUUAGGUAAAUCCGGACAUAUGUUGAUCUGAGGCGUGAGACGAAGUCGAGCUUGCUUGACGAAGAGAUUGAUGCUCUGCUUCCAGGAAAACCUUCUAAGCAUAGAUUAUGAUUGACCGUACUGUAAACCGACACUGGUGGGUGGGUAGAGAAUACCAAGGCGAUGAGAGAACCCAGGUGAAGGAACUAGGCAAAAUGACACCGUAACUUCGGGAGAAGGUGUGCCCCAUUAGGGUGAAGGACGCACGUCUGGAGCUUGAAGGGGUUGCAGAUACCAGGUGGCUGCGACUGUUUACUAAAAACACAGCACUCUGCGAACUCGAAAGAGGAAGUAUAGGGUGUGACGCCUGCCCGGUGCCGGAAGGUUAAUUGAAGGGGUUAUCCU